ACGCGUGCUCACCGCUCCUCCACUCUCCCUCCCUCGUCUCCCCAAAGCCCACAGAACCCUACCGCCACCACCGCGCCGCCAUGGCCGCCGGCGGCCGGCCGUGGCGCGUGAUCCCGCGGCCCGUCCUCGAGACCGUCCUCCACAACCACGCGCUCCGCCCGCGAGUGCCGCAGCCGCUGAUCCUCCACGGGCCCCGCGGCGUCGGCAAGUCCACGCUCCUCCUCGACCGGCUCCUCCCCCGGUGGUCGGAGACACCCCACGCCGCCGCAUUCGUCGACUUCCUCCACCCCACGCUCGCCUCUCCCGCCGCGGUGCCGUGGUCCCUCCUCCCCGCCGACCUGGCACCGCCUACGCUGCCCGACCUCCGCCGCCGCCUCGAGUCGGCGCUCGAGGGCCUCGCCCGCGCUGCCGUCCUACGAGGUGCCGUGGGGUCCAAGGACGUGCUCGCCGCGCUCUCCCGCUUCCACGGCCUCAGCACCGUGCUCUCCCGCCUGGCCGGGGGCCCCGUCGCUCGCUCCUCAGCAACCUCUGUGCCGGCUCGCCGCUCUUCGGCCACAUCCGUGCCGGCACUCUGGUCGAGGGCCGUGCUCGCCGCGGUGCGCAGGGACGACGCCACGUUCCGCAUUGGUGAGGGUGAGGCGACCAACUGCUCUAUGGAGGAGAGGGCGUACAUGCAGGAGGCCAUGGCGGCCCUGCGGGUGGCCAAGGAGGUUCUCGGGAUGCAGGAGGGGUGGAGGAAGGAGGCAAUUAGGGAGAUGAAUAGAACCUGUCGGUUCUCGCGCUCAUUGGCCAAUUCGGCCACCGACUGGCCGUGCCUAUUGCUGGAUGUUCUGUCCGGUGUGGCAGAGGAGGAAUUCUUCCAGCCGAAGCUGGUGCUAAACAAUGUGGAUGUUCUGAGGAAGGCAACUUGCGAGGACGAGACGAUGGUGCCAGCAGCGAUGUACCAUGAUAGCUUUAUUUGGAGGGUGAUCGCGCUUGGUGCCAAUGAACAGUGCUUGCCGGUCAUUUUAUCGACUUCAGAUGGCUACUAUUCUUCUCAAGCAUUCGUUGAUUUCGGUUUCCCUAAUAUAUUUAUUUCUCGUGAGACAUUUGGUUGGACACCACAAGAAGCUAAGCUGCAUAUGGUUUCCGAAUUCUUCAGUGAACAGGAGUGGAAAGUUGUAGAUGAGGUUCUUGGGCCAAACCCGCGACAAUUAUCUGAGAUAUAUAUGCUGAAGCAAAAAGUGAAUAGCCCAGAGGUUUUUCAUGACAGGAAUAUUGAGGAAGUUAUUGAUACAUACCUGGCACACUUGCAAGUCUCUGUCGUGAAUCCAGCAAUGGAGGCAGCAUUACAAAUGUUGCAGAAGUUUGCCUCAGAUGUCCGUGAGGGCAAAAUACCAGAGAACAGAUUGUCUUUUGGUGCACCUUGGAGACAUCCACCUCGGGAUGACAAUCCUGACUUGUCCUAUAAGUGGGCAAAGAUUCAGCUAAUGGAUUUUGUCCAGUCCUUUGUAAACACCGAGUUUGGGGUGAACUACCUAGCAGACGACAGCUUGGAAAUAUUGGACGAUCCUGCUGCUGUUGCCAUGAUGGAGGUUGGUUUACUUUAUCAACAAAGAGAUCCAUCCUUUAUGCGACCAGUCACUCGUGGGAUUCAGCGUUGUCUUGCCAGAUGGCUUGCUCAACAGAGGUUACAGUUGACCAUUCAAGAAACAAUAGCAUUCUUUUGGCAACGCUUGAUACGGGGACGAAGCUACCGUCACUUGAUGAAAGAAGUUGGGUACAAGUAAAGAGUGAUUCCAUUGGACCGAGAGCCAUUGUUUCCAUCUUUUAUGUGAACUGACUGGUGAUUGUGAUGGAUUGACUCGCUGACGGGAAUUUCAUUAAGAAUGUUUCAAGCAUUUAUGAUUUUGUGUCCACUCAUAUUCCCACUGAGGUAGGGAACCUCGGCUACUGGUGCCAUUCUGGAUAGAGGUGGACGGCUGGUUUUACAUUUUCUGCUCCUAACAAAAAAGAAUAAACCAAGUAAUCGCCCAAAGUGGCAACAGAAGUUGACUGGAAGCACCCAUAGGCUCUACAUUCUCUUAGAAUGCUGCAUUUCUGCCUGUAUGGCUGUAUGGUUAUUUUUUGGGUCAUGAGCUGGAUGUGGCACAGAAUUCUUACAUCAUCCCUUUGGUAGUUCAUUGAGGUGACUAGAAUUUCGGGAAGAGUUAAUCCCAAGUGCUUCCCCAGUCAUUUUUGAUGUGACAGGAAUGUACAUGUGGACCACUAAAUUCCAGAUUAAUACAGUGAAGCCAAGCAGUGUGUACGCGCUCAUC
Molecule: RNA transcript, 2297 nt
Organism: Panicum hallii
Lineage: Eukaryota; Viridiplantae; Streptophyta; Magnoliopsida; Poales; Poaceae
Exons: 12
Source: RefSeq, a predicted model, not a curated record